Molecule: small RNA, 27 nt
Filed under: Bombyx mori (domestic silkworm)
Lineage: Eukaryota; Metazoa; Arthropoda; Insecta; Lepidoptera; Bombycidae
Description: ovarian small RNA-17556
Source: RNAcentral
GGUAUGGAUGUUAAGACAUAUGUCAGC